UAGGGAAUCUUCCACAAUGGGCGAAAGCCUGAUGGAGCAACGCCGCGUGUGUGAUGAAGGGUUUCGGCUCGUUAAAACACUGUUGCAAGAGAAGAAUGACAUUGAGAGUAACUGUUCAAUGUGUGACGGUAUCUUACCAGAAAGGAACGGCUAAAUACGUGCCAG
RNAcentral lists this ribosomal RNA (165 nucleotides) under uncultured bacterium. RNAcentral's name for it is "partial 16S rRNA". It matches the Rfam family "Bacterial small subunit ribosomal RNA", at positions 355 to 511 of the family's 1533-position model. The record is from RNAcentral.